GCUUCACUAGCUCAGUCGGUAGAGCGUCAGUCUCAUAAUCUGAAGGUCGACAGUUCGAACCUGCCGUGGAGCA
This is a transfer RNA of 73 nucleotides. It matches the Rfam family "tRNA". Rfam says of the family: Transfer RNA (tRNA) molecules are approximately 80 nucleotides in length. The record is from Rfam.